This 497-nucleotide ribosomal RNA is filed under the name uncultured bacterium. RNAcentral describes it as "partial 16S ribosomal RNA". It matches the Rfam family "Bacterial small subunit ribosomal RNA", at positions 28 to 507 of the family's 1533-position model. The record is from RNAcentral.
GAUGAACGCUGGCGGCGUGCCUAAUACAUGCAAGUCGAGCGAACAGACGAGGAGCUUGCUCCUUUGACGUUAGCGGCGGACGGGUGAGUAACACGUGGGUAACCUACCUAUAAGACUGGGAUAACUUCGGGAAACCGGAGCUAAUACCGGAUAAUAUUUCGAACCGCAUGGUUCGAUAGUGAAAGAUGGCUCUGCUAUCACUUAUAGAUGGACCUGCGCCGUAUUAGCUAGUUGGUAAGGUAACGGCUUACCAAGGCAACGAUACGUAGCCGACCUGAGAGGGUGAUCGGCCACACUGGAACUGAGACACGGUCCAGACUCCUACGGGAGGCAGCAGUAGGGAAUCUUCCGCAAUGGGCGAAAGCCUGACGGAGCAACGUCGCGUGAGUGAUGAAGGUCUUCGGAUCGUAAAACUCUGUUAUUAGGGAAGAACAAACGUGUAAGUAACUGUGCACGUCUUGACGGUACCUAAUCAGAAAGCCACGGCUAACUACGUG